AUCGAUGAAGAACGCAGCGAAAUGCGAUAAGUAAUGUGAAUUGCAGAAUUCAGUGAAUCAUCGAAUCUUUGAACGCACCUUGCGCUCCUUGGUAUUCCGAGGAGCAUGCCUGUUUGAGUGUCGCGAACUUCUCAACCUUGGCAAUUUUAGUUUUGCCGAGGCUUGGAUCGUGGAGGUUCUGCCGGACUUGAUAAUAACGAGUUGGGCUCCUCUGAAAUGCAUCAGCAGACUUCUUUUAAAUUGCUGGCUUUGGUUUGAUAAUUUAUCUAUGUCAUCGCCAUCUGUUAAAGGGUCAGCUUACAAUCGUCCUCUUGGACAAACACUUGACGCUUUGACCUCAAAUCAGGUAGGACUACCCGCUGAACUUAAGCAUAUCAAUAAGCGGAGGAAAAGAAACUAACAAGGAUUCCCGUAGUAACGGCGAGUGAAGUGGGAAAAGCUCAAAUUUGAAAUCUGGCAGCCUAUCUUUGGCUUGCCCGAGUUGUAACCUAGAGAAGCGUCUUUCCGUUGCUGGACCGUGUACAAGUCUCUUGGAAUAGAGCGUCGUAGAGGGUGAGAAUCCCGUCUUUGACACGGACUGCCGGCACGUUUGUGAUGCGCUCUCGAAGAGUCGAGUUGUUUGGGAAUGCAGCUCAAAAUGGGUGGUAAAUUCCAUCUAAAGCUAAAUAUUGGCGAGAGACCGAUAGCGAACAAGUACCGUGAGGGAAAGAUGAAAAGAACUUUGGAAAGAGAGUUAAACAGUACGUGAAAUUGUUGAAAGGGAAACGCUUGGAGUCAGUCACGUCGGGCAGGGAUCAACCUCGCUUUUGCUUGGUGUACUCUCUGUUUUUACCGACGGGUCAGCGUCAAUUUUGACCGUCGGACAAAGUCCAUCGGAAUGUGACAUUUCCUUCGGGAGAUGUGUUAUAGCCCUUGGUCGUAUGCGACGGUUGGGAUUGAGGAACUCGGCACGCCGUACGGUUGUUGCUCAGGAUGCUGGCAUAAUGGCUUUAAUCGACCCGUCUUGAAACACGGA
Molecule: ribosomal RNA, 1015 nt
Filed under: uncultured fungus
Lineage: Eukaryota; Fungi
Description: eukaryotic LSU rRNA
Rfam family: Eukaryotic large subunit ribosomal RNA (bases 333-1015)
Source: RNAcentral